Molecule: ribosomal RNA, 518 nt
Filed under: uncultured Spartobacteria bacterium
Lineage: Bacteria; Pseudomonadati; Verrucomicrobiota; Spartobacteria
Description: bacterial SSU rRNA
Rfam family: Bacterial small subunit ribosomal RNA
Source: RNAcentral
AUUGGUCCAGUGGCAAACGGGUGCGUAACACGUGAGCAAUCUGCCGGGAAGUGGGGGACAGCUCGCCGAAAGGCGAAUUAAUACCGCAUAUGGCCAGGAAGGACAUCCUUCCGACGCCAAAGUCGCAAGACGCUUCCUGAUGAGCUCGCGGCCUAUCAGCUUGUUGGUGAGGUAACGGCUCACCAAGGCUAUGACGGGUAGCUGGUCUGAGAGGACGACCAGUCACACUGGAACUGAGACACGGUCCAGACACCUACGGGUGGCAGCAGUCGAGAAUUUUUCACAAUGGGGGAAACCCUGAUGGAGCGACGCCGCGUGGAGGACGAAGGCCUUCGGGUCGUAAACUCCUGUCAUGCGGGAACAAGAAAGUGAUAGUACCGCAAGAGGAAGAGACGGCUAACUCUGUGCCAGCAGCCGCGGUAAUACAGAGGUCUCAAGCGUUGUUCGGAUUCAUUGGGCGUAAAGGGUGCGCAGGCGGCGUGGAAAGUUGAGUGUGAAAUCCUGGGGCUUAACCUCAG